GAUGAACGCUGGCGGCGUGCCUAAUACAUGCAAGUCGAGCGAACAGACGAGGAGCUUGCUCCUCUGACGUUAGCGGCGGACGGGUGAGUAACACGUGGAUAACCUACCUAUAAGACUGGGAUAACUUCGGGAAACCGGAGCUAAUACCGGAUAAUAUAUUGAACCGCAUGGUUCAAUAGUGAAAGACGGUUUUGCUGUCACUUAUAGAUGGAUCCGCGCCGCAUUAGCUAGUUGGUAAGGUAACGGCUUACCAAGGCAACGAUGCGUAGCCGACCUGAGAGGGUGAUCGGCCACACUGGAACUGAGACACGGUCCAGACUCCUACGGGAGGCAGCAGUAGGGAAUCUUCCGCAAUGGGCGAAAGCCUGACGGAGCAACGCCGCGUGAGUGAUGAAGGUCUUCGGAUCGUAAAACUCUGUUAUUAGGGAAGAACAAAUGUGUAAGUAACGAUGCACGUCUUGACGGUACCUAAUCAGAAGGCCACGGCUAACUACGU
This 496-nucleotide ribosomal RNA is filed under the name uncultured bacterium. RNAcentral describes it as "partial 16S ribosomal RNA". It matches the Rfam family "Bacterial small subunit ribosomal RNA", at positions 28 to 506 of the family's 1533-position model. The record is from RNAcentral.